GGCAAAAUUCCCACCAAAAAUAUAAUUCACUCCCUCCUACUCUCUCUCUCUCACCUCUCUACUAUGACCUGCCUCUCCGCUCUCACCUCUCCCGUCUCUACUCUAACAUCUCUACUCUGCGUUUUCACAUCUAACUAAAUAUUCGUUCAUGGGUUUUCUACUAAUUGUUACUAAGUUGAACUAUUGCCAUCUAAUUUUAUUAUUUCUACUAAUUGGGUUUAAUGUCUUUGUUUUGCAGGUGAUUAGGGUUUUUCAAUUGGGGCUUUCAAUCUAAGUGUAUAGUAGCUACAGAUCAGCUAUGGAGUCUACCAGCCAAGCCAAGAAGAUUCUCUGUUUGUCAGUAAAAAGAAACUCAAUUUGACUGUAAUUGUUGACAAAGAUGGCUUUACCUCUAAUAAUCAGAUCGAAAGUAGAAAGGCGACUGAGUUCACCAAGACAACCAUAGACAAUGCCAAUUACUCCGAUCAAACAAGAGAAGUUGAGGAAUAAUGCUGAAAAUAUAUCAGGUCAAUCUGUACAGAGGCUACCUGUUCAGUCUGGACAACGAUUACUAGCUCAAUCCGGACAUUGGUUACCUGCUCAAUGUGGACGUCAAAUACAAGCUCAAUCUUAGCAUCAUCUGCAAUCUGGACGUGUUUCCGCUCAAUCUGGAGAUUAUUAUACAUUUGUUCUUGCUAUUUCUUUAUAUUCUUUAAAUAUCUUAUAAUGUACGGUCCUUGGAAACAUUAUAUUUGUGGUGUUUAUACUGGAAAUAAUUAAAAUUCUAUUGGUAAAGUGCUGGGAAUUUGGUAAUAAAAUGGUUGGCAAAGUGUUGGUAACA
Daucus carota subsp. sativus is the source of this 820-nucleotide long non-coding RNA. RefSeq lists it as uncharacterized. The record is from RefSeq and is a predicted model, not a curated record. The transcript is spliced from 4 exons. Lineage: Eukaryota; Viridiplantae; Streptophyta; Magnoliopsida; Apiales; Apiaceae.